This 468-nucleotide ribosomal RNA is filed under the name uncultured bacterium. RNAcentral describes it as "partial 16S ribosomal RNA". It matches the Rfam family "Bacterial small subunit ribosomal RNA", at positions 28 to 507 of the family's 1533-position model. The record is from RNAcentral.
GACGAACGCUGGCGGCGUGCUUAACACAUGCAAGUCGAACGGAAAGGCCCUGCUUUUGUGGGGUGCUCGAGUGGCGAACGGGUGAGCAACACGUGAGUAACCUGCCCUUGACUUUGGGAUAACUUCAGGAAACUGGGGCUAAUACCGGAUAGGAGCUCCCGCCGCAUGGUGGGGGUUGGAAAGUUUCGGCGGUUGGGGAUGGACUCGCGGCUUAUCAGCUUGUUGGUGGGGUAGUGGCUUACCAAGGCUUUGACGGGUAGCCGGCCUGAGAGGGUGACCGGCCACAUUAGGACUGAGAUACGGCCCAGACUCCUACGGGAGGCAGCAAUGGGGAAUAUUGCACAAUGGGCGGGAGCCUGAUGCAACAACGCCGCGUGCGGGAUGACGGCCUUCGGGUUGUGAACCACUUUCGCCUGUAACGAAACGUGAAUGACGGUAAUGGGUAAAGAAGCACCGGCUAACUACGUG